CUAAGAAUAUUCCGCAAUGGACGGAAGUCUGACGGAGCGACGCCGCGUGGAUGAAGAAGGCUGAAAAGUUGUAAAAUCCUUUUGUUGAUGAAGAAUAAGGGUGAGAGGGAAUGCUCAUCUGAUGACGGUAAUCGACGAAUAAGCCCCGGCUAAUUACGUGCCAGCAGCCGCGGUAACACGUAAGGGGCGAGCGUUGUUCGGAAUUAUUGGGCGUAAAGGGCAUGUAGGCGGCUAUGUAAGCCUGAUGUGAAAUCCUGGGGCUUAACCCUAGAAUAGCAUUGGGUACUGUAUAGCUUGAAUUACGGAAGGGAAACUGGAAUUCCAAGUGUAGGGGUGGAAUCUGUAGAUAUUUGGAAGAACACCGGUGGCGAAGGCGGGUUUCUGGCCGAUAAUUGACGCUGAGAUGCGAAAGUGUGGGGAUCGAACAGGAUUAGAUACCCUGGUAGUCCACACUGUAAACGAUGUACACUAGGUGUUGGGGCAAGAGCUUCAGNGCCAAAGCAAACGCGAUAAGUGUACCGCCUGGGGAGUAANGGGGGCGCAAGGGUG
RNAcentral lists this ribosomal RNA (549 nucleotides) under uncultured bacterium. RNAcentral's name for it is "bacterial SSU rRNA". It matches the Rfam family "Bacterial small subunit ribosomal RNA", at positions 355 to 896 of the family's 1533-position model. The record is from RNAcentral.